Molecule: unclassified non-coding RNA, 200 nt
Filed under: uncultured Pseudeurotium
Lineage: Eukaryota; Fungi; Ascomycota; Leotiomycetes; Thelebolales; Pseudeurotiaceae
Description: sequence contains ITS2
Source: RNAcentral
UUAAGUUCAGCGGGUAUCCCUACCUGAUCCGAGGUCAACCUGAAAAAAUUGGGGGUUGCUGGCAAGCACACACCCGGAUCUCCAAAGCGAGAAGAAUUACUACGCUUGAAGCCGAAUGGCACCGCCACUGAUUUUAAGGCCUGCCGGAAGCCGGCAGGGCCCAAUACCAAGCAGAGCUUGAGGGUUGUAAUGACGCUCGA